RNAcentral lists this ribosomal RNA (498 nucleotides) under uncultured bacterium. RNAcentral describes it as "partial 16S ribosomal RNA". It matches the Rfam family "Bacterial small subunit ribosomal RNA", at positions 30 to 523 of the family's 1533-position model. The record is from RNAcentral.
AUUGAACGCUGGCGGCAUGCCUUACACAUGCAAGUCGAACGGUAACAGGUCUUCGGAUGCUGACGAGUGGCGAACGGGUGAGUAAUACAUCGGAACGUGCCUAGUAGUGGGGGAUAACUACUCGAAAGAGUGGCUAAUACCGCAUGAGAUCUACGGAUGAAAGCAGGGGAUCGCAAGACCUUGUGCUACUAGAGCGGCCGAUGGCAGAUUAGGUAGUUGGUGGGAUAAAAGCUUACCAAGCCGACGAUCUGUAGCUGGUCUGAGAGGACGAUCAGACACACUGGAACGGAGACACGGCCCAGACUCCUACGGGAGGCAGCAGUGGGGAAUUUUGGACAAUGGGCGAAAGCCUGAUCCAGCAAUGCCGCGUGCAGGAUGAAGGCCUUCGGGUUGUAAACUGCUUUUGUACGGAACGAAAAGCCCCGGGUUAAUACCCUGGGGUCAUGACGGUACCGUAAGAAUAAGCACCGGCUAACUACGUGCCAGCCGCCGCCGUAA